RNA transcript from Chlorocebus sabaeus (green monkey), 2567 nucleotides. RefSeq lists it as uncharacterized. The record is from RefSeq and is a predicted model, not a curated record. Lineage: Eukaryota; Metazoa; Chordata; Mammalia; Primates; Cercopithecidae.
AAAAGAAUUUUCUUUUUCCAACUCCGGCUUUUGGUUUUGUGUGUCCACCUUGCGUAACUCUGGAGCCUGCCGACCCCACAUGGAUUCUCAACAGGUGGCCGGCAAAGUCUGGAGACUCACCAAGCUGAGGAGGAAGAGGGGAACAUCUCAACUCAAGCUGAAUUCUGAAGAACACUUGGCCCCACCUUCCAGAAAUCCUAAAUCACAUAGAGGGAAAGUUUCGGCCAGGUCACCAAGAAUGAACCAGAAGCUGAGUCCAUUACUCCAAUUUUCACAUUAACCAGGAGACACAUUGAAAAUUAUUUUCUUGAGUGAGAGACUGAAAUUUUGGCUCAAGGGUGUUUCUGUUGGGUCUUCUCUUGAUAUGGCACGUGAGGACUGCAUCCCAGGUCACAUCUGCAGCCACUCCCAGAUUACACUGCAAGGGAGGGUAGACUAGGAGUAGAUAGGGAGUAGAGGGGUCUGCAGACACAGUGAAAGCAGCAAGCUGGUGUAGGAAAACCCGGAAAAUAUGUCUCAGAGACAGCCAGUGGCUGCACAUACAAAAGGAAGGCACCUACCUGGAAAAGAAGGGGUUAUGAAGUUCUGCCCAGAGUCACAGCGCGGACGUCCUCAGAAGGUCUCCAGGCUUCUGUAGCAAUCUAUAGUAUGCGUCAGUAUGGUUGAAAAAGCUUCUUCUAUCAAGUUUAACAACUUUCUGGUGUAACUUCUGAGAGGGCUGAUUGCUUAUUCAUGCGGAAGCAGGACGCCCAGUUCAUUUUGCCCGUUUUUGCUACUCUUUGUUGGGUUUGGGAGGCUGUUAUGGUAGCUGCAAAUGGCUUCUCAAGUGACAUUUGCUGACAUUCAGUGAAGUACAUUUAUCAGUAUUCGCCAGCUCACCUCUCUACACAUGCAAUCCAUUUUGUUUUGUUCUUCAUAGCAAACUCCUUCCCAACACCCGUGCCCUGAAAAUGAUAAAUGGCAAGGUGGCAUAUUUCUCAAGCUGCACUCAAAUGUCACUGUGAAAAAUCUUUAAUGGACUAAGUGUAGCUUUUCACGUUACAACUUGUCAGGUACUGAGAAAUUCUAGAGUUUCUCUUUAAUCCACAAGUCUUUGGAACCACACAUCUGCAAGCAGAGACUAAUUAUAAGCUGCACCAGUCAGACCUGGGCAAGCAGAAACCAAGGAGAAAACAUCUGAUAUCAGCUAAUUCUUUAUUAUUAUUAUUACUAUUAUUAUCAUCCUCAUCAUCAUUCCAUUUUUGCUCCUUCCUUUCCUACUCAGGAUAUUUGAGGUAUGAGCAAUCUGUGACCAGGCCACCAUGCAGGCCUAUCAUCUUCUCAUACACCCAGCUUUCUCCAUAAUGGCUUUAUUCUUUUCCUCCAAGGUUCAAAAUCACCAUGACUUCUCCCCCGCGGAGCGGGGUGGCGGGGGACUGACUCUGAAUCAUAAAUCCUGACUCCCAAAUAUUGGCCAUAAUUGGGAAGGUGAGAGGUAUCUCGUAUGUCUGGGUGGAAGAGUCUCCUUUCUCCCUGGUGAUUCAUUUUCAGAACACAUGUCCAUCUUUCCAACGGCUUUGAGUUUCACAUCACCACUGGAAAGACCUGCCAGUUUCUUCCUGUGUGCCUGUCCACUGCCAUGCUACUCACAGGAUUGUGGCUUAUGGGCACUCACUCACCCUUCAACAUGACUUGUUCACUCCAGUUCUCCCUUUCCAAAUGUUCUCAAUCCCCUGGUCCAUGCCCCAAGGGGGAUUCGGCCUUUGCCCACCAGCUAUGUUCUGAAUGUUUGUGUCUUCCCCAAAUUAAUAUGUUGAAACUUAAUCACAAAUGUGAUGGUGUAAGAAGGUGGGGACUUUGGGACUUUAUUAGGUCAUGGAGGGAGAACCUCAUAAAAGAGGCUGCCUUGCCCCCUCCAUCAUGUGAAGCAUCAUCUGUGAACCAGGAAAUGGGCCCUCACCAGACAGUGAUCCUGCUGGUUCCUUGAUCUCGGACUUUUCGGUAUCCAGAACUGUGGGAUACACAUUGCUGUUGUUUAUGAGCCACCCAGUUUAAGGUAUUUUGUUAUAGCAGUCCAAAUGGACUAGGCCACCACCAUAGUCAGGGAAGAGCUGGCUGAUUUGUGCAUGUCUGUGCUGUGUCCCAAUGAAAGCACAAUAAUUAAUGAACACUGAUUCUGCAAUCGAUGUUUGAAGGUCAAAGGAGUUGGGAAAGGGGGUCUCCUGAAGCCAAAGAAAAGCAUUGUACUCCCCAAAACUGUGCCAGCCAGGUUUACCUUUCACAAGAUGCUACAGAUUGAGAUGCAUUGGUUUUACUUCUGGCUCUUUAAGCCCCACUCAAGCUCUAAUUUUGAUAUCUCCUUCAAGACGCUUUAGUUUGGGCCCCUCCCAGGCUCCCUUCUGUUUUUGUUCUUUUUUUCUAACAUCAUCCUUGGCUUUUCUUCUCUUUUAGGUUUGACCUCCUGUCUCUUGGGUUGAGAAACCGUCCGCUCUGACUCCUGGCCUGCUGUGACCCCUCCAGAGCCCCCUGUACAGGUCUUUGGUCACACAGAGACUCAACAAUCUAAUAAUCUAAAAUUGUAAAUGCCA